RNAcentral lists this ribosomal RNA (2637 nucleotides) under Triticum aestivum (bread wheat). RNAcentral's name for it is "partial small subunit ribosomal RNA". Lineage: Eukaryota; Viridiplantae; Streptophyta; Magnoliopsida; Poales; Poaceae. The record is from RNAcentral.
AUGCCACCAUGGUGGGGAAGGUCUUCAUCCAAAGAAGUAAAGAAGUCGGCCACAGAAAAUCUAAUUGACACAUUUCAGCGGUUCAUAAGUCCAAGUGAGCAAAAGGGGAGCACAAAAUCACGAGGGGGUCGCAGACGUGGUAAAGACCAAACUGCUGAGAAACGUUGCUGGUCUACUGCCCACUCACGCUCCACAUCCCCUUCAAAAGAGGUUUCUCGCUGUCAAAGCUUUGCAACAGAUAGAGCACAUGCACAACCACUCCCUCUUCCUAGAUCACGUGCUGGGGUGAGACGUAUUGUAUCUGAUAAUCCCGACUCAAAGCCCAUUUUGGAGAAGAGUGGUACAGGACAUCAACUACCACUGCCAGCCCUGAACCGGCUUGCAAAUGCUUCUGUCUCCAGCAACAGUUCUAUUGACAGUGAUGAUCGUGCAGAUUCUCAACUUCAGAGCCCCGCAGGAAACGAGGUGACCAAUGUUACAGCACCGAGUAGUUCAAGCGGUGUGCGUAAAGAGUGUUCAGGUGCUACCACCAGAAGGAGCACCAAGGAAGUGACAAAGCCAAGAAAUGCUUUUCCUAGUAACCAAAUUCUGUCUACAUCUCCAAGUGGUGCUGUCACUGACAGUUACCAACCUAGUUUGCAAAAUUCACGACAAGUUGCUCUUGAGAGUGCUCCAAAUAGUUUGAUGUCAAGCCCUUCUCAAAGCCCAAGAACAAUAUUUCCUGACCAGAUUCCAACAUCAGCUUUUUGGGCGGUUAAGCCUCAGCCAGACGUAGUUUUCCUUGGGUCUGGUCAGUGCUCCAGUCCAGGCUCAGGGCAAACAUCUGGGCAUAAUUCAGUGGGAGGUGAUAUGCUAGCUCAGUUCUUUUGGCAGCCUAGCCGAGGUAGUCCAGAGUGUUCACCAAUUCCAAGCCCAAGAAUGACGAGUCCUGGUCCAAGUUCAAGGGUGCAUAGCGGAAGUGUGUCUCCGUUGCAUCCAAGGGCUGGUGGGAUUGUACCUGAAUCUCCAACUAGCCGGCGUGAUGAGGGGAAGAAAAGGCAAACCCACCGAUUGCCUCUUCCACCAUUAAGCAUCUCUAACAGUUCCCCAUUUUUACCGAACAACUCCGCACCAACAAGUCCUAUAUCUCGUAGUCCUGGUAGAUCAGAGAAUCCACCCAGUCCUGGACCACGGUGGAAGAAGGGAAAGCUGAUUGGGCGUGGCACAUUCGGCCAUGUAUAUGCUGGCUUCAACAGUGAUAGAGGCCAAAUGUGUGCAAUGAAGGAGGUUACCCUUUUCUCAGAUGAUCCCAAGUCAAAAGAAAGUGCAAAACAGUUGGGCCAGGAAAUAUCACUUCUGAGCCGUCUGCAACAUCCAAAUAUUGUACGAUACUAUGGAUCUGAAACGGUUGAAGAUAAGCUUUAUAUAUACCUGGAGUUUGUGUCCGGUGGAUCCAUCCACAAACUUCUCCAGGAGUAUGGACAGUUUGGUGAACAAGCAAUUCGGAAUUAUACUAAGCAAAUACUUUUGGGCUUAGCUUUUUUGCACGCGACGAAUACAGUUCACAGGGAUAUUAAAGGUGCAAACAUAUUAGUAGACCCUAAAGGCCGCGUAAAGCUUGCUGACUUCGGAAUGGCGAAACACAUCAAUGGGCAGCAGUGUCCUUUCUCACUUAAGGGUAGCCCAUACUGGAUGGCUCCUGAGGUUAUAAAGAAUUCGAGCGGAUGCAACCUUGCUGUUGACAUAUGGAGUUUAGGAUGCACAGUUCUAGAGAUGGCUACCUCAAAACCUCCAUGGAGCGAAUAUGAAGGGAUUGCUGCAAUGUUCAAGAUAGGUAACAGCAAGGAGCUUCCACCAAUACCGGACCACCUUUCUGAAGAGGGCAAGGAUUUCAUACGUCAGUGCCUGCAACGUGAUCCAUCUAGCCGUCCAACAGCUGUGGAUCUUUUGCAGCAUUCAUUUGUACGAAGUGCAUCACCACUUGAAAGACCAGCUGCCUCUGUUCCAUUGGAACAGUUGGCUGCUAUAUCUUGCAAACCAAUUUCUAAGGUGGUUGGGCAGGCCAAAAAUAUGCCCUCUUUGGGCUUGGAAGGGCAAUCCAUUUACCAAAGAAGAGCUGCCAAGUUUUCUUCAACAAACAGUGGGAUUCAUAUUUGGAGUAAUACAUCUUGCCCAGUUUCUCCGUGUGGAAGCCCUCUUCUAAGGUCAAGAUCCCCACAACAUCAAAAUGGUAGAAUGUCACCAUCUCCAAUUUCUAGCCCCAGAGCUACUUCUGGUGCUUCCAGUCCUGUGGGAGGUGUCCAUGGAGCUAUUCCGUUUAGCCAUGCCAGACAACCAGCUUACAGCAAUGAGGGAUUCACAAUUGCACCGAGAGGCCUUGAUAAAAACUUGCCUACCAGGCCUCCGGAUCCGGUCCUUGGUCAUUUUGGUAGAGCGCAGCAAUUCUCGACAGGCACUCAGGAGAGGGUGAUCUCUGAAUGUGACAUUCUGAGACCUCAGACUGGAAAAAUGAGACGGCUCAAUGUGCAAGAUUUGAAUGCUACCACAUUGCCUUCCAAGCAUGUUUCUCAGCAUGGCUCUGGGAGUCACGUGAGGCUAAAACCUUCACUGGACUUGACAUCUGGUAAUCAGCGCCUUGUGCGCAACCAUGGUCAUUGA